This 1031-nucleotide long non-coding RNA is filed under the name Elaeis guineensis (African oil palm). RNAcentral's name for it is "long non-coding RNA (EGUI_LNC013272)". Lineage: Eukaryota; Viridiplantae; Streptophyta; Magnoliopsida; Arecales; Arecaceae. The record is from RNAcentral.
GCAGAUGAUUUUCAUAUUCAAAAUAAAAAAUAAUUUAAGAAUUAUGCAUGUAAACCUUAAUAAAUAUCUAGUUUUUAUAUCAAUAUCAUUCCAAAAAUAUUAUUUGCAUAUGUAUAUGUUGUUUUCAAAUUUUGCCUAUGAAGAUUUGGAGAUAUAGAAGGCAUUGAUUAAUCCACUCAAUUUAUAGUUGUAGAAAAUGGAGCACCAAUAUGCCUUGGAGAGUCAUGGAUUUACACAUAAAAAAAAAAAAGAAGAAGAUGAGAACUAGCUAAAUUGGCUCCGAUCGAGCUCUCCAAUGCUUAAGCUAGGGGAAGCUUUGGAAGAACAACAAUAAAGGAAAGAUAUAAAACAAGAUUAAAGUAGAAUAUUGACUUGUCCUGAUCGAUUUAAUUUUGGUCUGCCUUCAUCUCGACAUCCUCAGAACGAUCAUUUUAUCUUUGCUUUCUCAGAUUAAUCAUAGAAGUUCAACUUGUGGGAUGUUGGUCUUGGGUUCCUCACUUUAGCCUUCUAAUAUUAGUCUUAUGAGAUCGGUCUUGGGAGUCCGGCCACGAAGUUCUCAUCUUGACCUCUAACUUGAUAGCACAAUCUCAGUCCUGGUAGCUCAGUCUUGAUUAUUAUUUUAGUUUUGAUCUUCAUCUUGAUCUAAAACUUGAUAGCUCAGCUACGGGCAUCACCUCGUAGACUUACUGAUCUGAAAAAAAUAAAAUGAUAGAUAAAAGCUUAAGAGCCUCUCACCAUAAGAUCUUUGAAUUAUGGGAGUCUCCCUUUCAUAGGUUAUUUUUCUGGGGUCUAUUUGACUCUAUUUAUAUUAGCACAAGAGCAAGGAUCCAACAUGAUUUAGACUCAAAAAUCAAAUACUUGCUAUAACCUCUUUCCUUAUCCGGAGAAUUCGAAAUUGUCUUAACUUCCUUCCUUAUUUGGAUUCUCUGAAAUUCAAAUCCAUUUGAAAUUGCUUACCAUAUGUCAUAGAUUUCAUGCCUUAUCAGUAUCCUUUGAAAUCUUUUUGAUUUAUGCAUAUGUCCUUCCAUCAC